UACGUAGGGUGCGAGCGUUAAUCGGAAUUACUGGGCGUAAAGCGUGCGCAGGCGGUUUUGUAAGCCAGAUGUGAAAUCCCCGGGCUUAACCUGGGAAUGGCAUUUGAAACUGGGCAGCUAGAGUGUGAUAGAGGAUGGCGGAAUUCCCGGUGUAGCGGUGAAAUGCGUAGAGAUCGGGAGGAACAUCCGUGGCGAAGGCGGCCAUCUGGAUCAACACUGACGCUGAGGCACGAAAGCGUGGGGAGCAAACGGG
This 253-nucleotide ribosomal RNA is filed under the name uncultured bacterium. RNAcentral describes it as "partial 16S ribosomal RNA". It matches the Rfam family "Bacterial small subunit ribosomal RNA", at positions 524 to 776 of the family's 1533-position model. The record is from RNAcentral.